UAUUGGACAAUGGGGGGAACCCUGAUCCAGCGACGCCGCGUGAGUGAAGAAGUAUCUCGGCAUGUAAAGCUCUAUCAGCAGGGAAGAAAGAAAUGACGGUACCUGAGUAAGCAGCCCCGGCUAACUACGUGCCAACAGCCGCGGUAAUACGUAGGGGGCAAGCGUUACCCGGGAUUACUGGGUGUAAAGGGAGCGUAGACGGUGAUGAAAGUCUGGAGUGAAAGGCGGGGGCCCAACCCCCGGUCUGCUCUGGAAACUAUGUGACUGGAGUGCAGGAGAGGUGAGCGGAAUUCCUAGUGUAGCGGUGAAAUGCGUAGAUAUUAGGAGGAACACCAGUGGCGAAGGCGGCUCACUGGACUGUAACUGACGUUGAGGCUCGAAAGCGUGGGGAGCAAACAGG
RNAcentral lists this ribosomal RNA (400 nucleotides) under uncultured bacterium. RNAcentral's name for it is "bacterial SSU rRNA". It matches the Rfam family "Bacterial small subunit ribosomal RNA", at positions 362 to 776 of the family's 1533-position model. The record is from RNAcentral.